RNAcentral lists this ribosomal RNA (578 nucleotides) under Trichoderma atroviride. RNAcentral describes it as "eukaryotic LSU rRNA". The stretch from base 216 to 369 matches the Rfam family "5.8S ribosomal RNA". The record is from RNAcentral. Lineage: Eukaryota; Fungi; Ascomycota; Sordariomycetes; Hypocreales; Hypocreaceae.
UCCGUAGGUGAACCUGCGGAGGGAUCAUUACCGAGUUUACAACUCCCAAACCCAAUGUGAACCAUAACAAACUGUUGCCUCGGCGGGGUCACGCCCCGGGUGCGUCGCAGCCCCGGAACCAGGCGCCCGCCGGAGGGACCAACCAAACUCUUUUCUGUAGUCCCCUCGCGGACGUUAUUUCUUACAGCUCUGAGCAAAAAUUCAAAAUGAAUCAAAACUUUCAACAACGGAUCUCUUGGUUCUGGCAUCGAUGAAGAACGCAGCGAAAUGCGAUAAGUAAUGUGAAUUGCAGAAUUCAGUGAAUCAUCGAAUCUUUGAACGCACAUUGCGCCCGCCAGUAUUCUGGCGGGCAUGCCUGUCCGAGCGUCAUUUCAACCCUCGAACCCCUCCGGGGGGUCGGCGUUGGGGACCUCGGGAGCCCCUAAGACGGGAUCCCGGCCCCGAAAUACAGUGGCGGUCUCGCCGCAGCCUCUCCUGCGCAGUAGUUUGCACAACUCGCACCGGGAGCGCGGCGCGUCCACGUCCGUAAAACACCCAACUUCUGAAAUGUUGACCUCGGAUCAGGUAGGAUGCCGGAA